UUGGUCGUGCGGCAGGGCGCUUGGAACUCAGCUUUGCUGUUUUUACCGGCGAUGCCACCUAAGACGAGUAGAGGCGAUGUGACUAGAGUCCAUAUAAGGACGAUCACGACAAUGGUUCCAAAGGGUAGUGCUGCGGUUGCAGUGUAGGUGAUGGCUACGGUGUUGAGGAAGCAGAAGGUUAGGAGUAAAGGACCGUGGGUGCUGUUUUUUAUGCUAAGGUAAAAGACUUCUUUUAUCUUCUAAAAAGUUGUCGUCAGCAUCAUCGUUCUCUGGUCUGGUGGUGUUAUUUUUAGUUAGAACAACAUGUAUACUGUGUCUUUCAGGCCGAAAUGGGGUGUACUGAGACCGAGUUGGGGGAUGAUGGUAGCGCUUGGAUAACAAAGUCUCAUAAUUUUCUGUUUCAAGUAAAGCGUUGUCCUUGGUAUCUUGUAAGUUACAUUCUCAAAUACCUUCAUUUUUUUUUUUGCUAUGUCUUGCCUGCCCCUCAUGACUUGAAGCCUACCUCUUUCUCUCGCUCGCUCAAUCAACUAUUUAGGAAGACAGUACUGGUGUGGUGAAAGUAGUGGGAGCUGAAGCUGCUGAUGACUUUCUUGAUACUCUGACACCGCAUUUGGAUAUGUCACUAAGUGAAAUCUUUGGUAGUAUUGUAGAACCUAAACAAGGCUCUCAGGUUACCUUUUCUCUUUCAUUUUUUUUUUGUCUUUCUCUGUUUAUUUUAGUCUUUUUCAUUGGGUUGGAACCAACAGUGUGAUUGUUUUCAUCUCUAGACGAUUUUUCGGGCUUCUCUCGAUACUGGUACCUCCUUAACUAUUAUUGGCGAGGUAAAGGAAGCCCCCAUGUGUUUAUUCUUUAUAUUGUGGAUCAUGUAAGAGUGGCUGUGCAAGCUAAUAUAAGUUGAUGUGUCUGUGUCCUUGUCUGUACUGUAGGCUGCUAGAGACGAAGCUGGUAAUCUCACGAUUCAAAACACCAAUGAACAGCCUUUUAGGAUCUUCAGUGGAGAGGGCUCGUUUGAUAAAAUGGUUGCCAACUUGAAGUCAAAUUCAGAGUAAGGACAGAGACUCAUCAUGUUUUUGUUUAUACAUGGUGAUGAUAAUCAAAUUUUCUUGUGUUAUUUUUUAUGCAGGUUUUAUUUUUUCUAUUCCAAGAUCUUUGGAACUAUUGCUUUUGCUAUAGUUGUUUUUAAAGGCGUGAGUUUCAUACGAAGGGUUUUACGUGAGAGAGCAGAUAAUGCUGAUUCAGACGACGAAGAAACGCCAUGAGGGAGUAGAAUCAGACAACAGUAGUUUAUAGGAUCAGCUUUAAAGGCUCAGGCAGAAGAAUCAGACACCAAUGAUUUAUAACUAGGAUAGAUUUUUUAUCUAUGGUAUUGGGUAGGCAAAAUGUUUAUGAAUAUUUUAACAAACCAUCGUUUCUUAUUCUGACAGAUGAACAAAUUUAAAAAAAAAUUAUAUUGUCCAAAUUAACUAUGUGAUUCUAUUACAUAGUUGAACACACGUUGAUUUAUUCUAUUUAUAGCUUUACAAAACUUGUUAAAAGGAUAUAAUUUAAUUUAAAUAAGAACAUUAUUUCAAUGUAAUAAAAGCAGACAUUUUCCCUUUGUUUGGAUCAAAUUAAUGUAAACAGCCAUUAAAUUAGUCAAUGAACAUAAAUUCACCAACUCGGACAUAUAAUGUACGAAAUAAAAACAUUUAAUUAAAAAGAAUAUCUGUUACAACUUACAAGUCAGUAAAAUGUUUAUAAAAAUAACAAAAGAAAGAGAAAAAAAAAAUACAAAAGUAAAAAAAAUUCAAACUUCCCUUGCAGAUUUUCUUCCUCAGACAUACAAACAAACAAACAGAACAUAAAAAGCAACCGUAUGAUAAAACAACUCUUAAACUCAGAUGGGGUUACCUGAAACUAAUCAUCUGAUGGUGACGAACUUGUUAGUCCCAUGUCUAGCCCAAUGGCUCUUAAGAUCAAUGGGGCUCCCAAAGUUAAACCCAUCAGAAGAAAGUUUCUCAAGAACCUUCUUAAACGCUCCUUGACUCAUCUUCCUCCCGGAGAUCCUCGCUCCACGGCGUUUAGUACUCAUCGGCAACGGGUGCAUCGAUAUGUUCGUGGUGCAACACGCAGACUGCCAACCGCCGCAUCCCCAACGGUAGCAUUGCUGAGGAGCUCCGGUGCAAGUGCAGACCGGUACAGGUAAACCGGAAAUGUCCAUGUUCACUCCGUUGAUAAUCAAGUCAACGCUUUUCUUAGCCGGUUUGACUCUUGAAACGUUAGUCUUGCUGUCGUUCUCUUCUUUCGGUUUACGAGGCUUCUUCCCCUUUGCUGUUGCGCUAGCUUUUGAGUUAGUCUUUCUCUUCUUGUUAGGCUGAACAAUCUCUUCUUCUUCUUCGCAUUUAACCGGGUUAUCCUCGGUUUGAUGAUGGUGAUGGUGAUGCAUGGACGGGGCUGAUGAAGUUUCGGGGAGAACGUUUCCGUAGUUAGGAGAGGUUGUUACAGGCAACAUGUUGAAGAACUUGUCCUUCUGUUGGUUAAUCCAGUUGUAGCUCAUGUGGAUUGGUGGCUCAGGGUGGUGGUAUGACCCGUUUUGGCCAAUCAUUAGAUUUGGAUCUCGACCGGGUAGAAACGGUUUAGUGUUCCGGUCAGCGCUUGACAUUAGCUGCAAACCGAGGUUGCCUUUGAACGUAGCAGCAGCUGGUUCGUAGUAACCCCAAUUGCGAAACCCAUCGUCAUCCAUUUUCAAAGAUCUACAAAACAUGUCAAUAUAAAAAAAAGACAAUCAGAGAUUCAAAUCCAAAUUCAGACAAAACAAAAGCCAGUUCAUGUUCCAAUUAGCCAAAAUCAAAUCAUCCUACCAUUUAUUAUAUCCAAUGUUCCAGAGAUAACACAUCAGAUGUUAAAGAUAGCAAGAAAACAAAAAUUAGAGUGGAUAUAUACAUGAAAUCCAGGGAACUUUUAUAUGAUAUUCCGACAUAAGAACAUUUUCUUGUCGGAACCAACAUGCACAGCUUCUAGAUCUGGGGAGUCCAGAGCUAGAUCUACGGAAAAUGGACAUGAAUCAAGGAGAUCCACAGCCAAAAUCUAAUGAAACAUCAAGAUAUGUACAUAUAUUGGACGGAGAUAAAAGGAUUUGAAGCAAAAGCGUUGUUGGUACAGUACAGGAAAAAAAGGUCCCAUUGUAAAUAUUCAAAACUGAGAGAAAGAGAGAGAGAGGCAUGAUAUGGAAAUGGAUUAGGAAAGAGAAAACUUACAUAUGAGAUUGGGUUAACAAACGGCUCUUUAAGGGAAUUUUUGCCCUUCUGGAGAGAGAGGAGAGAGAGAGAUUGGAGGGAGGGAGGAAAGAGAAGGAAGAGAGAGGAGAGAGAAACCUGAAGGGAAAGAUAAGAUCUGAAGAAAGGGAAAGGGUUUUUAUUUUUAUUUUUUUUGAGUGGAACAGAGAGAGAACCCUAAAAUAAUUGAAAAUCAUUUUCUAAUUUUAAAAUAUACACAAUCUAAAAUAAAUAUCUUUCCAAAAGGCUUUUUUCAUUUUUCUCUCCGCGUUGUACUUGAAAUGAAGACUUUCUUUUUAUGUUUGGUCACUGUAAGAAAGCCAUUUGAGAAGAAGACAAAACAAAAAAAAUAACAAAGCCCACUUAUUGGUCUUUUUGACAUCGUGUCAAAACCAAAUUUUUUAAAAGGCAACGAGAUCGUUCGUGAAAAGAUGAGACGAGGAACAUGAGAUUAUGAAGAAAAAAUACUAAUUCUUCAUAAAACUUUCUAUUGGUAAUUUUUUUUUUCUGUAAUAACAAAUUCUGUGUUUAGCAAACCGAACGUUUUGGGAAUGUUAAGACACAAGUGUAUCCAAUGUGAAGCUCAUAUUUUAUACAUAUAUUGCAUUGCUCAUAGUCAGAGCUUGUCCCUCGCAAAUCAUAAUAAUUCCAUUCCUGUGCGUUCUCUGAACCAGAACUUCGCUGAUUCCCCCAAAGUUAUCAAAUAGAUUUAAACAGAUGCAAAUAUUGCACAACGAUCAUGACUACCUUGAAUAAGAGAUUUGACAUUUAUUACAUACAAAAAAAAAGUCCGAAGGUAUGAUCAUCUUUUACAAUCCAUAAAAUAUAUAGAAAAGGAUACACGUAAGUAAUUUUAAUUUCCGUAGCCCAAAAUAACGAGAAGAAGAGAGAGACAGAGAAGAGAUGCUUUUUCAGGAAAUAAUCAGGCAUUAACAUUGUCAAUAUAUCUCUCUUCUUUCUAACAACCCAUCUCUUUAUCUUUUCUUUGUUCUAGCAAAAAUUCUUAAGGAGGCAGAAGAAGAAGAGAACCAUCGUAAGAAGAUAAAGACUUCUUACUCGCAUUUGAUAGACCGGUAAAUGUGACGAACGAAGAAAAGUGCAGCGCGGAAGCCGACAGUCCCGAGCAUUAAGAAGAACCCGUAGCAAAUGCAAGCCAUGUACCCGAAGAAGAACGAUGUUUGCAUGAAUCCAGACAUGUCUGAUCGUGCGUAGUAGUAGUAUAAGCAGUAGGCGUAGAUAAACAAACCGGUCGACCCACCGCAUAGGAAUGAUCUGCAAAUAAAAACAGUCUCAGGUUCUAUUGUUCAGAGAGAGAAGAAGGUAAAGACAAUGGGAAAUGGCUUAACGAACCUCCACCACCAUUGGUGAUCUUCAGCAGCGAGCUGGAAGUAAGUCAAGGCGACGGUUAUAAAAGCAGUGACAAUGAUGAGGAUGAUGAAGACAAUGAACAGGAUGCUGUAGAUGGUGUAGAUCCGGUGACCCCAGACACUAGCGAAAAUGUAGUAAAGCUCGAUGUAGAUGGCACUGAAAGGAAGAAAACCAGCCAUGGCCAUCUGAGGAACCGCGCUUCUGUACCAAGGGAGCGGCGGAAUCUCGCGGGGGUACUUGGUCGUGCGGCAGGGCGCUUGGAACUCAGCUUUGCUGUUUUUACCGGCGAUGCCACCUAAGACGAGUAGAGGCGAUGUUACUAGAGUCCAUAUAAGGACGAUCACGACAAUGGUUCCAAAGGGUAGUGCUGCGGUUGCAGUGUAGGUGAUGGCUACGGUGUUGAGGAAGCAGAAGGUUAGGAGUAAAGGACCGCAGAAGAGACAUCCAGUGAGUAACAAGUUUCUCACCUGCAGUAAUGUGAAACAAAAAAGUCGUUUAGUUUAUGUAAGAAGAUGAUUUGAGAA
This 5146-nucleotide long non-coding RNA is filed under the name Brassica napus (rape). Its description in RNAcentral is "long non-coding RNA (BNAP_LNC001272)". The record is from RNAcentral. Lineage: Eukaryota; Viridiplantae; Streptophyta; Magnoliopsida; Brassicales; Brassicaceae.